GUAGUCUCGCACAGAUGCAUAUCAAUAAGCGGAGGAAAAGAAACUAACAAGGAUUCCCCUAGUAACGGCGAGUGAAGCGGGAAGAGCUCAAAUUUGAAAUCUUAAAGGGUUUCCCUUUACGAAUUGUAGUUUAAAGAAGUGUUUUCUGUUGAGGUUUUGGUAAAAGUUCUUUGGAAUAGGACAUCAUAGAGGGUGAGAAUCCCGUAUUUGACCUUUACUUUCAACUUUGUGAUACACUUUCAAAGAGUCGGAUUGUUUGGGAAUGCAGUCCAAAAUGGGUGGUAAAUUUCAUCUAAAGCUAAAUAUUGGCGAGAGACCGAUAGCGAACAAGUACCGUGAGGGAAAGAUGAAAAGAACUUCGAAAAGAGAGUUAAACAGUACGUGAAAUUGUCAAAAGGGAAGCGUUUGACACCAGUGUUGUUUUUCUGAAAAUCAAUUAAAGAACUGUUUAUGCUAAGCUUGUUUAGACUUUUAUCAGCUAACUGUUUAGUUUUGAGCUUUUCUUUAAUGCACUUUUCAGUUAACAAGUCAACAUCAAUUUCUUUUGCUGUAAAAAAGCUUGAGGAAGGUGGCUUGAGAUUCGUCUUAAGUGUUUAUAGCCUCUUGCCUAUGCAGUCGGAGAGAUUGAGGUCUGCAGCGUAGAUCCUUCGGGGCUAAAUGCAUUUGUGCUAAGUUAUAGCAUUUUAUAGACAACUUGUUGACUAUGAUUUGUCUUGUAGCUUACUCGCUUAUGUUAUUUUACCUACGCUUAGGAUGUUGAUCUGUAGUGCGUGCGC
RNAcentral lists this ribosomal RNA (776 nucleotides) under uncultured Neocallimastigales. RNAcentral describes it as "partial large subunit ribosomal RNA". It matches the Rfam family "Eukaryotic large subunit ribosomal RNA", at positions 24 to 647 of the family's 3401-position model. The record is from RNAcentral. Lineage: Eukaryota; Fungi; Neocallimastigomycota; Neocallimastigomycetes; Neocallimastigales.